AGAUACGUCUCGGGGCACGGCCCCUUCGUCAGAAACGAGAUAAGUUCAAAUCCAUGUCCUUAAAUAUUUAAGUAUUUAAGGACAUGGAUUGAACUUAUCUCGUUUCUGACGAAGGGGCUGUGCCCCGAAACGUAUCU
Molecule: non-coding RNA, 137 nt
Organism: Paramuricea clavata
Lineage: Eukaryota; Metazoa; Cnidaria; Anthozoa; Malacalcyonacea; Plexauridae
Source: the annotation of a GenBank genome assembly